Molecule: transfer RNA, 78 nt
Filed under: Bacillota bacterium
Lineage: Bacteria; Bacillati; Bacillota
Also listed under: 1 other name
Description: tRNA-Pro
Rfam family: tRNA
About the family: Transfer RNA (tRNA) molecules are approximately 80 nucleotides in length. Their secondary structure includes four short double-helical elements and three loops (D, anti-codon, and T loops).
Source: RNAcentral
CGGGCUGUAGCGCAGUUUGGCUAGCGCGCCUGCUUGGGGUGCAGGAGGCCGCAGGUUCAAGUCCUGUCAGCCCGACCA